UUAUCCCAAACCUAGAUCUCGAACUCUCAAGUCUCAAUCUCCCUUCGGCCGACGGCAUCACCUCCCUCGACCCUCAUCGCCUUCGGUGGCUCUUCAUCGGUCAUCACUCAUCUGUCAAACUCAUCGGUAGCUCUUCGGCCGACGACAUCGCCUCUCUCGACGAUUUGAAAGUAAGUUCUUACUCGAAUUUCAGACAUUUUUGAUGAUGAUGUAACCGAUUGAAUAUGACAAGCUAUUGGCUACGUUGGUCGCAAUUUAUUUUUUUACAUGAAAAAAAAAUCUCUUUAAUCUUUCAUUAUGUUAUUUCUAAUAAGCAAUUUUAUCAUAAAAAUUUAAUUUAUAAUAUCAAUUAGUGUCUUUUUCGAUUCUUGAUUAGUGAUGCUCUUCUUUUAGGUUUUAGGUCCAAGGAUAAAUUAUUUGGAAGGCUUCUUGCAUAUUUGAACUUAAUUGGUUAUUGUCUUAUUGAAUUUAUUUUGAUACGCCUCCAGAAUUUUGCCCUUAAAUUUGCAUACAGUUGUUCUACAUGUUUCUCCAAUAAGCCUUGCAAUAUUGAUAAAUAAGAUAUGUACUACCUAUUAAAAUUAGAACAUAUAUGACCUAAAUGGUUAGUGUUUGUUUCUUUUUCAUUCUGUCUUUUUUCUGUUCAUUGUUUUGGAUCUAAUUUAUAGGUCAUAAGCUUCAACAAAAGAAGGUAGUAAAUUUACGUACUUGCUAUUGAUUUGUGUAGACAGUUCAACUUUUAGCUAGUGAAUACACUGUUUGAGGUUCCUUAUAUUCUUUCUAGCAUUCUUUUUUGUUUAAUAUGUAUAGUUGCAGUGACUUGCAGUGUCUUACUUGCAGUGUCUUGCAGACUUUCUAGCAUUCUUUUUUUUUAGCUAGUGAAUACAGAGUUGCAGACUUGUGUUUGUUAUUUCCUUUGUUCACAUCGGAAAGGGGUAAAAUGCAAGGUUGACCAUCGAACUUUAGGGGUUUUUGGGUAUUGAGCCCUUUUUUUUUGUCAACGCAUUUUGAGCCCUUUUCUAUUAAAAAAUUUGGACUUCGAGCCCCUGUUGCCAGACGUGGAAUAUAUGACAUGGGUAUUUUUAUUUUAAUUUUACAUGUGGCAUAUAUGAUGUGUCUGCUACCCAAAAAAAUUGUUGCUGCUCAGAUUCGAUCUCCAGAACUCCCACUCAAAUUUCAAUCCACUUGACCACCCGAGCACCACGGGUUAGCUAUUAUAUUUUCGCAAGGAUUAUACUUUAUAACCAAACAAAGAAUUUCCCCCAAAUUAAAUAAUACUAAUACUAAUACUAAUAAUAAUAAUAAUACUAAUAAUAAUAAUAACAAUAAUCACAAUAAUAAUAAAAAUAAAAAUAUAAUAAAAAAUAUAAUAAAAUAAUAAUAAUAAUAAUAAUAAUAAUAAUAAUAAUAAUAAUAACAAUAAUAAUAAAAAUAACAAUAACAAUAAUAACAAUAACAAUAACAAUAAUAAUAAUAAUAAUAACAAUAAAAAAUAAUAACAAUAAUAAUAAUAACAAUAACAAUAACAAUAACAAUAACAAUAAAUAUAACAAUAACAACAAUAACAAUAACAAUAACAAUAAUAAUAAAAAUAACAAUAACAAUAAUAACAAUAAUAAUAAAUUGAUGUUUUUCUUUUUGCUAAUUUUUUUUUUAAAACAAAAUACCACUAUACAUCAUAUUCACAAACAGUAUGCCAUAAAAACCCAAAAUAUCUCUACCACCAGUGGACCGCCACCGAUUAGAAACACCACCAUCACCACUGAUCAGAAAACUCCAUUAUCACCACAACUUGAAGCCCUAUUACUCAUAAAAUCACAUCUCUCAUCCCUAAUUAAAGGAAAGUGAAAGAAAAGAGGGAGAACAAAUCCAUUAACCCAAAUAUGUUUGUGCUCAAUCACUGCUAUCAGAAAAUAAAUCAUCACUGAGUUGCGACGGCAGAGCCGUGGAGGAGGUGGGGGAAGAGGAGAGAGAAAGAACGAAUCUUAGGUCAAAACAAGCUCAAACAAAGAAAUCAAUACAUAUACAACCAAAUGAAACAAAAUCAGAAUUCGAUAUUAUUAGAAUUGAAAAAUACUCUACAGGAAAUUAUAACUAUAAUCGCUUAGAUGUAUCUACCUCAAAUAAAAUCUUACAAAAAUAAUGACCUAUUCAACUGCACAGUUCUUAUAUCUCUAACUCUAAAAUGUUAAAUUCUUAGCACCGGCUACACUAAUUCCGGCACGUUUAACCGACUCAAACAAAGGGAUCACCAUUUUUCGGUGAUGAACCGGCCGAGAGAGCUCUUCCCCAAUAUCGAUAGCCACAUCGGAAACCCCCAUUUCUUUAAGUUGAAACCCUAACUUUUCGCCUAUCCUUGAAGCGAUCUUGGCGUCCCAGUAAUUGUGCGAUCUAGGGUAUCGAUUGAGCUUGGACCGGUACUGUGCUACGAAUUCUUGCUCUGAGGAUGAAGCCAUGGCCACAAUUGAUUCGGUGGUAGCGUUCGUCACCUGAGCUGUAAUUUGCCAAGGAGAAAAAUUAAUAGAGACUGAGACAGCAGAUCUAACUAAAUGGGUUUUGUUUUCAUUUGGGGGAAAUUGGACUGGAUGUUAUAAAUCAUAAUUGUUGUAAAAAAAAAUCAGCUAACCCGUGGUGCUCGGGUGGUCAUUGGGUUGAAGUUUCAAGUUGGAGGUCUGGAGAUCGAAUCUGAGCAGCAACAAAUUUUUUGGUUCAAGUCUAAUAACAUCCACGUCAUAUAUGCCACAUGUAAAAUAAAAAAACCCACGUCAGAUAUGUCACGUGUGCCACGUAGGCGCCACGUGAGCAAGUCAACGCAUAUCUGACAACAGGGGCUCGAAGUCCAAAAUUUUUAAUAGAAAAGGGCUGAAAAUGCGUUGACCAAAAGAAAAGGGCUCAAUACCCAAAAAUCCCUAAAGUUCAGUGGUCACAUUUGCAUUUUACCCCAUCAGAAAGUUAUUUCCUUUGCAUGGCUGUUUCAUAAGUUUUACUUACUUUGUCAAUAUAAUGAGCAAGUGUCUACUGUCUAACAUGCUGGCAAAUGUCAAGUGGCAAAUGAUGCUUUCUUUCAUUUAUAUUUGUCAACAGCAACUAGCAAGUGGUAGGAGGUUCAAGCAGCAAAUGGUCAUUGUAGGAACUCAGCAUCAGGCCAGCAGCAGCAGCAGCAAAUGGGCAACAACAGUCAGCAGCUUCAAGCAUUUUGGGCUAGCCAAAUUAAGUUUUCCAUUAUGUUUAUGGAUUAUGUUUAUGGUGUUAAUCAUUGUAGGAACUGUGUUGUUGUUUAUGGAUUAUGUUAAUGGAUUGUAGGAACUGUGUUGUUGUUGUUUAUGGAUUAUGUUUAUGGAUUGUAG
Molecule: long non-coding RNA, 3347 nt
Filed under: Panax ginseng (ginseng)
Lineage: Eukaryota; Viridiplantae; Streptophyta; Magnoliopsida; Apiales; Araliaceae
Description: long non-coding RNA (PGIN_LNC010280)
Source: RNAcentral